CCUCAGCCUCCCAAGUAUCUGGGACUAUAGGUGUGUGCCACCACGCCUGGCCCCUUCUUCUUUUAAAGGUUCAAAUCACCAGAGGAAUGUGGAGGGAACUGAAGGAUUCAAAUGAGGUUUGGGACCUUACAGUGACUCUAGAAAUGAAGCUAGAGCCUAGAGCCUGUGCCUACAUGCAACUCACCAAGUCAUUGCUCCUAUAAACCUAUCAGGAAUGUGCUGCUCAGCCCGAGCAUCCUGAGGGGUGGUGACCAGAAUUUUGUGUGGCUGGGGACCCUGGAGAGGGUCUUCUGUUUCUGCUGCAGCUGCCCUCACAGGGAACCUUACUAAGACCAAGCAAGGUUUCCUUCCAGCUCUUUGGGCUGGCUCAAACCUGACUUCAGUAACAGCACGGGAGUCUUGGGCAUGCAGCAGGAAGUGGGGUGGGGAUGACAGGCCCUGGGAGUCUGUAAGAAACUUGUCCUGGCCCCAUUGUAGGCUCAGAGCCAGGUAAAAUAGAGAAGAUCUGAGACAACCAGCUCCACUUUCCCGUGAGAGAGGAGGUGGGGAAGGGGUGAUCAGUGGAAGUCAAGUAUCCUUUUUUCCUUUAAGUAACAUAUGUGCUAAGUGGCCAGGAAUGAGGAAAGGGCUGCAUCCAUCCUGUCUGCCUCCCGUCCAAUGCAGAGGAAAGCCUGCACCCCUCCUUGGUCUGUCUCAAUCUGCAUUUUGCCAGUAAGACUUGCUGGGCCUCCACUCGGGUUAAGGUCGAUGAAUAAAACCAGAGAACUUAAAAAGAGGAAACAUCAACACUGAAGAGGUCAUGGGGAAGAGGAAGGAAAGUACGGCACCUGCUAUCAAUUUGACUUGCAUGUAACCAGAAUUCUCAGAACUUGUUGGUUGCUCCUGCUGGCUCCUGUCCAUGUAUGCCAAGAGGACAUGAUGGCAAGCGGAUUAGAACCAGAGAUGAUGAUCCUUCCAUCCCCCUCUGGGCAUCCUCCUCAGCUUCAAGAGCUACAGAUGCAAGAGCAUGAUGGGCAUCCUCCUCAGCUUCAAGAGCUACAGAUGCAAAAGCAUGAAUGAAGUCCUGCCUGUGUUGCCUGACUUUGUCACUGAGACCAGAAGGAGACCCCAUGCGGAAUCAACUAGCAAACACAAACAGCUGCCUGGUGCUGCAGGGCAAACAGACUUGAUGAUGAAAUUCUCAAAAUUCAUCAUUGCCUAAUUUUUUUUUUUUUUAGAAAUAUGCACCAUUUUGUUAGCCAAAGUGCAGAUUUUCGUAGAGAAAACAGGAAAAUUAUUGAUAUGGGUACACUCACAACGUGCUAAAUACAAACUAAACAGAUAACCCAUAAGGCAGAAAAUAUAACCCCUCCCCGACUCCAUUUCUGCCUUUGUCCCUUUCCAUCUGCAUGGCUGUCCCCCACCCUGGCAAGUGCUCUGCCUCUCCCAAGAGCAUUUUUGGGGGUCCAGCCAGGUAGCACCACCUUCCUUAUCCCUUAGUCCUUCCUGCUGCUCAGAGAGGAAUUUUCUGGAGCUGGGCUCUAAUCAGUGCACAGAGGUGGGAUGGAGAUGAGUUUUUUUAAAAUAUAAUUUAUCACGCAUUUGCACCCAUUGUUCUCCCAACCAGAUUGCAAACCACUAGGAUACAGGGUCAUGUCUAGUUUCUCUUGCCUGCCCUCCCCUCCCCAGCUCCCAAAUUAGACAUGGCAGAGUAUCUUUACUACACUGGGCUGGCAAUUCAUGUUUUACACUGAAUAAGUAGAUAAGGCAGAAUUGUCUAUUUUUAUGUUGUUUUUUGGCAGGUCCCUGCCA
This 1791-nucleotide long non-coding RNA is filed under the name Homo sapiens (human). Its description in RNAcentral is "HSALNT0345801". Lineage: Eukaryota; Metazoa; Chordata; Mammalia; Primates; Hominidae. The record is from RNAcentral.